Molecule: ribosomal RNA, 486 nt
Filed under: uncultured bacterium
Lineage: Bacteria
Description: partial 16S ribosomal RNA
Rfam family: Bacterial small subunit ribosomal RNA
Source: RNAcentral
AUUGAACGCUGGCGGCAUGCCUUACACAUGCAAGUCGAACGGCAGCACGGGUGCUUGCACCUGGUGGCGAGUGGCGAACGGGUGAGUAAUACAUCGGAACAUGUCCUGUAGUGGGGGAUAGCCCGGCGAAAGCCGGAUUAAUACCGCAUACGAUCUACGGAUGAAAGCGGGGGACCUUCGGGCCUCGCGCUAUAGGGUUGGCCGAUGGCUGAUUAGCUAGUUGGUGGGGUAAAGGCCUACCAAGGCGACGAUCAGUAGCUGGUCUGAGAGGACGACCAGCCACACUGGGACUGAGACACGGACCAGACUCCUACGGGAGGCAGCAGUGGGGAAUUUUGGACAAUGGGCGAAAGCCUGAUCCAGCAAUGCCGCGUGUGUGAAGAAGGCCUUCGGGUUGUAAAGCACUUUUGUCCGGAAAGAAAUCCUUGGCCCUAAUACGGUCGGGGGAUGACGGUACCGGAAGAAUAAGCACCGGCUAACUACGUG